Molecule: long non-coding RNA, 1058 nt
Organism: Scaptodrosophila lebanonensis
Lineage: Eukaryota; Metazoa; Arthropoda; Insecta; Diptera; Drosophilidae
Exons: 2
Source: RefSeq, a predicted model, not a curated record
CUUACGACGGUGUCAUUACAGCAAUAGAGACGUUAUCAGAGGAAAAUUUGACAUUAGCGUUUGUGAAAAAUAGAUUGCUAGAUCAGGAAAUUAAAAUUAAAAAUGACCAUAAUGACACAAGUCGGAAAGCUUUAAAUACGGUUGUGCAAAAUAGAAACUACAGUUUUAAAAACAAUUCAUUUAAAAAUCGUGUAACGAAGCAAAAUAAAACAUUUAAGAAAAAUUCUAAGAAUAGGGUUAGAUGUCACCACUGACAAAGAGGGCCACGUAAAAAGGGAUUGCUACCACUAUAAAAGAAUAAUAAAUGAAAGAAAUAAUAAAAAUAACGAUAAACAAGCUAAAACCGCAACAUCACAUGGCAUUGCAUUCAUGGUAAAAGGGGUGAAAGAAGACCCGGUGAUAAAUAAAUGUGGAUUUAUCCUCGAUUCCGGUGCAAGUGAUCAUCUAAUAAAUGAUGAGUCGCUAUACACCGAUAGUGUGAAGUUGGUGCCGCCACUGAAGAUCGCUGUGGCCAAGCAAGGCGAAUAUAUUUACGCAUCUAAGCGUGGCAUCGUACGUUUGCGCAAUGACCACGAAAUAACACUGGAGGAUGUGCUGUAUUCCGAGCAGGCUGCUGGAAACUUGAUGUCGGUGAAGCGCCUACAAGAGGCAGGAAUGUCAAUAAAAUUUGACUAAAAAUGGAUUGACGGUGGUCGAGAAUUCAGAGAAACAACUUGCUGACAUCUUUACAAAGCCACUACCUACUGCAAAAUUUUUGGAAUUACGUAAUGAAUUGGGAUAACUGCAAGAUGACGGAUCUGUUGAUUGCUGAUGCUGAAGUUUUUUUUUGUUGUCACAUUUGAAUUGAAAUGUUUUUUUUAUUAGUUCUUAAAAACAUGAAGUUAUAAAAAUUUAAUUGUAUGUUAACAUAUAUGUAAGAGUGAUCUGAUCGGGUUUUUCUGGGUUUUCCCCGUAUCCUUGCAGCGAAUGCUGGAUCACAUAAUUAUUCCCAGAAUGCACACCGCACACACUAGAAUAAGUAUAUGAGAAUUACAAAAGAUUGCUAUAUGUUAAAUUUA